ACGCUCGACACCUACGGGAGGCAGCAGUGGGGAAUAUUGCACAAUGGGGGAAACCCUGAUGCAGCGACGCCGCGUGGAGGAAGAAGGUCUUCGGAUUGUAAACUCCUGUUGUUGGGGAAAAAGAGGAUGGUACCCAACAAGGAAGUGACGGCUAACUACGUGCUCGCAGCCGCGGUAAUCUGAGCGGGCUGGCAAGGC
RNAcentral lists this ribosomal RNA (198 nucleotides) under uncultured bacterium. RNAcentral describes it as "partial 16S ribosomal RNA". It matches the Rfam family "Bacterial small subunit ribosomal RNA", at positions 328 to 539 of the family's 1533-position model. The record is from RNAcentral.